CCCCAUUCUGGUAUAUGAUCCAAGCUCUAACCACUGGAAGGAUGGAUCCAAGGAAAUCUAGGAAAUCUGAUGAUGAUGUAGUUGCAACAAUCCAAUGUUACAAUGAAAAAAUAAAAGCAUUCACAGUUGGUAAAAAGAACUUGACCUUUACAACAAAUGACGUGACCUUGAUUUUCGGUUUGCAAGGAGAUAAAGGAGCCAUGUCAUUAAGAUACUCUAAAAAGCCAAAAUCUGCAUUCCUAAGGAGAAGAUUCCCAAAGGACACAAGGCUUACUGGUCUUGUUCUUAAAAAUGCCUUGGUCAAAGCAAUGAAAGGCAAGCAACCAACUAACUACAAAGAUGUAACAAUCAUUGUUACAUUGUACUUGUGUCUCACCCUAUUUUUUAAAACAAGUGAGAAUUCAAUAUGGUGAGUUUUUAUAAAGUAUGUGGAACCUCUUGAAUCAAUGAAACAAUAUGAUUGGCCAGAAGCAAUCACAUCAACAUUGAUUGAUUCUAUCAUAGCAUUGCACAAAACUCCAGAAAAAGUUACGGGGUGUGUCAUUGCAUUGCUAUAUUGGCUAUGUGAACAUGCAAAUAUCAUGGACUUGGAAGACAGUAACACAAUUGAUUUCCCAAGAUGUGCCAAGUGGAACUUGCAAAGCUUGACGAAACAGCUGCAGAAGACACUAGUCCACUCUCUUGCAC
Non-coding RNA from Camellia sinensis, 687 nucleotides. The record is from RefSeq and is a predicted model, not a curated record. Lineage: Eukaryota; Viridiplantae; Streptophyta; Magnoliopsida; Ericales; Theaceae.